RNAcentral lists this ribosomal RNA (394 nucleotides) under uncultured bacterium. RNAcentral's name for it is "bacterial SSU rRNA". It matches the Rfam family "Bacterial small subunit ribosomal RNA", at positions 29 to 414 of the family's 1533-position model. The record is from RNAcentral.
AACGAACGCUGGCGGCGCGCUUAACACAUGCAAGUCGAACGAGAAGGCGUAGCAAUACGCUUGUACAGUGGCGAACGGGUGAGUAAUACGUGGGCGACCUACCCUCGAGUGGGGAAUAACCCGCCGAAAGGCGGGCUAAUGCCGCGUACGCUUCCAUCUUUAUGGAGGUGGAAGGAAAGCCGUGCCGUGGGCACGGCGCUCAAGGAUGGGCUCACGUCCUAUCAGCUUGUUGGAGGGUAACGGCCUACCAAGGCUCCGACGGGUAGCUGGUCUGAGAGGACGAUCAGCCACACUGGCACUGCGACACGGGCCAGACUCCUACGGGAGGCAGCAGUGAGGAAUAUUGCGCAAUGGGCGAAAGCCUGACGCAGCGACGCCGCGUGGGGGGAGUGAA